Molecule: ribosomal RNA, 468 nt
Filed under: uncultured bacterium
Lineage: Bacteria
Description: partial 16S ribosomal RNA
Rfam family: Bacterial small subunit ribosomal RNA
Source: RNAcentral
GGGGGGGGGGGGGGGGGGGCGGGGCGCGUGCAGGUCGGGCGGGGGGGGCCUGGUGGGGGGGGGUGCUCGGGUGGCGGACGGGUGAGUAACGCGUGGGUAACCUGCCCGUGACUUUGGGAUAACUUCAGGAAACUGGGGCUAAUACCGGGUAGGAGCUCCUGCUGCAUGGUGGGGGUUGGCACGUUUCGGCGGUUGGGGAUGGACUCGCGGCUUAUCAGCUUGUUGGUGGGGUAGUGGCUUACCAAGGCUUUGACGGGUAGCCGGCCUGGGAGGGUGACCGGCCACAUUGGGACUGAGAUACGGCCCAGACUCCUACGGGAGGCAGCAGUGGGGAAUAUUGCACAAUGGGCGGAAGCCUGAUGCAGCAACGCCGCGGGCGGGAUGACGGCCUUCGGGUUGUAAACCGCUUUCGCCUGUGACGAAGCGUGAGUGACGGUAAUGGGUAAAGAAGCACCGGCUAACUACGUG